RNAcentral lists this ribosomal RNA (253 nucleotides) under uncultured bacterium. Its description in RNAcentral is "partial 16S ribosomal RNA". It matches the Rfam family "Bacterial small subunit ribosomal RNA", at positions 524 to 776 of the family's 1533-position model. The record is from RNAcentral.
UACGUAGGGUGCAAGCGUUGUCCGGAAUUAUUGGGCGUAAAGAGCUCGUAGGCGGUUUGUCGCGUCUGCUGUGAAAACCCGAGGCUCAACCUCGGGCCUGCAGUGGGUACGGGCAAACUAGAGUGCGGUAGGGGAGAAUGGAAUUCCUGGUGUAGCGGUGGAAUGCGCAGAUAUCAGGAGGAACACCGAUGGCGAAGGCAGUUCUCUGGGCCGUAACUGACGCUGAGGCGCGAAAGCGUGGGUAGCAAACAGG